GUGCUCGCUUCGGCAGCACGUAUACUAGAACCGUAACGAUACAGAGGAAAUUGGCCCCUGCACAAGGAUGACACUCAAAUACAUGAAGCAUUUCAUAUGAAG
Small nuclear RNA from Zalophus californianus (California sea lion), 102 nucleotides. NCBI's taxonomy places the organism in Eukaryota, Metazoa, Chordata, Mammalia, Carnivora, Otariidae. The record is from Ensembl.